This 253-nucleotide ribosomal RNA is filed under the name uncultured bacterium. RNAcentral's name for it is "partial 16S ribosomal RNA". It matches the Rfam family "Bacterial small subunit ribosomal RNA", at positions 524 to 776 of the family's 1533-position model. The record is from RNAcentral.
UACGAAGGGGGCUAGCGUUGUUCGGAAUUACUGGGCGUAAAGCGCGUGUAGGCGGCUUGGCAAGUCAGAUGUGAAAGCCCUCGGCUUAACCGAGGAAGUGCGUCUGAAACUGCUGAGCUUGAGUGUCGGAGAGGAUGGCGGAAUUCCGCAAGUAGAGGUGAAAUUCGUAGAUAUGCGGAGGAACACCGGUGGCGAAGGCGGCCAUCUGGACGACUACUGACGCUGAGACGCGAAAGCGUGGGGAGCAAACAGG